RNAcentral lists this ribosomal RNA (406 nucleotides) under uncultured bacterium. RNAcentral describes it as "partial 16S ribosomal RNA". It matches the Rfam family "Bacterial small subunit ribosomal RNA", at positions 30 to 526 of the family's 1533-position model. The record is from RNAcentral.
AUUGAACGCUGGCGGCCGGCCUAACACAUGCAAGUCGAACGAGUGGCGGACGGGUGAGUAAUGUCUGGGAAACUGCCCGAUGGAGGGGGAUGACUACUGGAAACGGUAGCUAAUACCGCAUAACAUCGGAUGUGACCAGAUGGGAUUAGCUUGUAGGUGGGGUAACGGCGCACCUAGGCGACGAUCCCUAGCUGGUCUGAGAGGAUGACCAGCCACACUGGAACUGAGACACGGUCCAGACUCCUACGGGAGGCAGCAGUGGGGAAUAUUGCACAAUUGGCGCAAGCCUGAUGCAGCCAUGCCGCGUGUAUGAAGAAGGCCUUCGGGUUGUAAAGUACUUUCAGCGGGGAGGCGUUACCCGCAGAAGAAGCACCGGCUAACUCCGUGCCAGCCGCCGCGGUAAUAC